Molecule: ribosomal RNA, 478 nt
Filed under: uncultured bacterium
Lineage: Bacteria
Description: partial 16S ribosomal RNA
Rfam family: Bacterial small subunit ribosomal RNA
Source: RNAcentral
GACGAACGCUGGCGGCAUGCCUAACACAUGCAAGUCGAGCGAGCAGAUCCCUUCGGGGUGAAGCUAGCGGCGGACGGGUGAGUAACACGUGGGCAACCUACCUCAUAGAGGGGAAUAGCCUUCCGAAAGGAAGAUUAAUACCGCAUAAGAUUGUAGCUUCGCAUGAAGCAGCAAUUAAAGGAGCAAUCCGCUAUGAGAUGGGCCCGCGGCGCAUUAGCUAGUUGGUGAGGUAACGGCUCACAAAGGCGACGAUGCGUAGCCGACCUGAGAGGGGGAUCGGCCACAUUGGGACUGAGACGCGGCCCAGACUCCUACGGGAGGCAGCAGUGGGGAAUAUUGCAAAAUGGGGGAAACCCUGAUGCAGCAAUGCCGCGUGAGUGAUGACGGCCUUCGGGUUGUAAAGCUCUGUCUUCGGGGACGAUAAUGACGGUACCCGAGGAGGAAGCCACGGCUAACUACGUGCCAGCCGCCGCGGUAA